GUGCCAGCCGCCGCGGUAAUACCGGCAGCCCAAGUGAUGGCCGCUGUUAUUGGGCCUAAAGCGUCCGUAGCUGGCCGCGCAAGUCCGUCGGGAAAUCCGCCCGCUCAACGGGCGGCCGUCCGGCGGAACCUGUGUGGCUUGGGACCGGAAGGCGCGACGGGUACGUCCGGGGUAGGAGUGAAAUCCCGUAAUCCCGGACGGACUACCGACGGCGAAAGCACUCUGAGAAGACGGCUUCGACAGUGAGGGACGAAAGCCAGGGUCUCCAACCGGAUUAGAAACCCGGGUAGUCC
Molecule: ribosomal RNA, 293 nt
Filed under: uncultured bacterium
Lineage: Bacteria
Description: partial 16S ribosomal RNA
Rfam family: Archaeal small subunit ribosomal RNA
Source: RNAcentral